UGAGAAAGGAUCAAACCCAUGACCGAGGCCCAGGCACAGCAAAAUACCAACGCACACGAUGUCCCAGUUAACUGCUGGCUGAAGAGCUCUGCUUUUCAAAACGAAUACCAAGCAAUCCAAGUUGCGAAUGGGAAACCUUUCCCGCAGUGCUGGACCUUCAUGCCUUUAGUAUGUAGCAUUCUAAGACCUAAUGAACUCCACUGUAACAUAAAUUCAGUGCUGUAGCUUUGUGACAUGACUGUGAUCACACUAAUGCCGUUCAGCGCACAACGGGGCCUAAGCGAAGCCUAUCUUGGCUGUGACAAUAAAUCCGUAAUUCCUUUCUGGCAGGCGGUUUGGCAACCAGAUUAAAAAUGCGUGCACCCUGUGACCCAACAAGGUUUAUCCUGAGAAAAUAAUCAAAGUAUGCAGGGUAUGUAUGAGAAAAUCCAUCACAGCACUAUGUGCAACAGCUAAAACUAAACAGCUAAAAUCACCUAAAUAGCAGGCUAUUUAAGUAAACUAACAUACGGUGUGAAAGAGAAUACUACGUCGCCAUUAAAGAGCACGCAAAACUAGAUUGACAAGAGAUGUUCACAAAAUAUUAAGUAGCAAAAAGAUAUGGAGAAAAAAAGAUUUUUUAAUUAAAAAAAAUUUCGAUAAGAUAUAGAGAAGCAUUUAUAACAAUCUAGUUCUAUAAAAAUUAUAAAGUCUGUAAUGAAAUACUAUUUUAUUGUCAAUGGCUUUAUGACUGCCUUCUUUUGGGUUUUUAGUUUUCUCAAUUUUUUUCACAAUUACCUCUAUUAUGGAAAAACAGUGUAACUUUCCUUUUUCAGGUAGGACAAAACAGAACCAUUUCAUUGUGUUUUAGAGUCUCAUCUACAAGUCAGUUCAGAGCAUAGCCUCCUGGACAACUUUCUGGCUGAAAGCCACCUCUUCUCUCCUCCACCUGCUGCUGGCUGAAGACAUGGUAACCACAAUGGGCAAGACUAUGGGCUUGAUGUGGGGCAGUCACUUCAGCCACAGGAAGCUGUACCACGCCUCAUCACUCACUUUACUGUCGACUGGCAAGUAUCUGUGAUCUGCUAAUGAGAGAAAAUGUACUCUCGACAUGACUAGCAAAUUUUAUUUAGUUUUCAAAAUUUUUGUAAAGAGCAAAUAUAAUACUAGAAGUCCUAUAAGUCAAUAUAAAUGACUUUCUCAAAAAAAAAAAAAAAAAGCAUAUAACAGUGGGACUGUGGUCCUUUAAGGAUGGGCAGUUGAGAAUCAUUCUUCUAAAUAUUUUGUUUUGUAAAAACAAAGUUAAUAAAACUUUACUGAGCACCUAUAAUGUGCUGCCAUUGUACUGAA
Molecule: non-coding RNA, 1329 nt
Organism: Sus scrofa (pig)
Lineage: Eukaryota; Metazoa; Chordata; Mammalia; Artiodactyla; Suidae
Source: RefSeq, a predicted model, not a curated record